Molecule: ribosomal RNA, 623 nt
Filed under: Palmaria palmata (dulse)
Lineage: Eukaryota; Rhodophyta; Florideophyceae; Palmariales; Palmariaceae
Description: SSU rRNA
Rfam family: Eukaryotic small subunit ribosomal RNA
Source: RNAcentral
UUAAUUUGACUCAACACGGGAAAACUUACCAGGUCCGGACAUAGUGAGGAUUGACAGAUUGAGAGCUCUUUCUUGAUUCUAUGGUUGGUGGUGCAUGGCCGUUCUUAGUUGGUGGAGUGAUUUGUCUGGUUAAUUCCGUUAACGAGCGAGACCUGGGCGUGCUAACUAGGGGCCGCUACCAUUGUGUAGCUGUUCGCCCCUUCUUAGACGGACUGCGGGCGUCUAGUCCGCGGAAGCUCCAGGCAAUAACAGGUCUGAGAUGCCCUUAGAUGUUCUGGGCCGCACGCGCGCUACACUGAGCGGACCAACGGGUGAGGAUGCGCGAAAGCGUUUCCCAAUCCCCAAAUCCGCUCGUGCUGGGGAUAGAGGCUUGCAAUUUUCCCUCUUGAACGAGGAAUACCUUGUAAGCGUGGGUCAUCAGCCCGCGCUGAAUACGUCCCUGCCCUUUGUACACACCGCCCGUCGCUCCUACCGAUUGAGUGAUCCGGUGAGGCUUUGGGACUGCCGCGGUUGAGGCGUUUACGCCCUGGCCGCAGUGGGAACUUAUCCGAACCUUAUCACUUAGAGGGAAGGAGAAGUCGUAACAAGGUUUCCGUAGGUGAACCUGCGGAAGGAUCAUUCAU